GACGAACGCUGGCGGCGUGCUUAACACAUGCAAGUCGAACGAUGAAGCCCUUCGGGGUGGAUUAGUGGCGAACGGGUGAGUAACACGUGGGCAAUCUGCCCUGCACUCUGGGACAAGCCCUGGAAACGGGGUCUAAUAUCGGAUAUGACCUGCUGAGGCAUCUUGGCGGGUGGAAAGCUCGGGCGGUGCAGGAUGAGCCCGCGGCCUAUCAGCUUGUUGGUGGGGUGAUGGCCUACCAAGGCGACGACGGGUAGCCGGCCUGAGAGGGCGACCGGCCAAGCUGGGACUGAGACACGGCCCAGACUCCUACGGGAGGCAGCAGUGGGGAAUAUUGCACAAUGGGCGGAAGCCUGAUGCAGCAACGCCGCGUGAGGGAUGACGGCCUUCGGGUUGUAAACCUCUUUCAGCAGGGAAGAAGCGUGAGUGACGGUACCUGCAGAAGAAGCACCGGCUAACUACGUGCCAGCAGCCGCGGUAA
This 478-nucleotide ribosomal RNA is filed under the name uncultured bacterium. RNAcentral describes it as "partial 16S ribosomal RNA". It matches the Rfam family "Bacterial small subunit ribosomal RNA", at positions 28 to 523 of the family's 1533-position model. The record is from RNAcentral.